This is a transfer RNA of Plicaturopsis crispa FD-325 SS-3, 84 nucleotides long. It matches the Rfam family "tRNA". From Rfam's summary of the family: Transfer RNA (tRNA) molecules are approximately 80 nucleotides in length. Lineage: Eukaryota; Fungi; Basidiomycota; Agaricomycetes; Amylocorticiales; Amylocorticiaceae. The record is from Rfam.
GCCCUGCUGGCGCAAUGGUUAGCGUGCUUGACUUCGAUUCACGAUCAUAUCAAGAGGUUGUGGGUUCGAACCCCACGCGGGGUU